RNAcentral lists this long non-coding RNA (669 nucleotides) under Pan troglodytes (chimpanzee). RNAcentral's name for it is "lincRNA". The record is from RNAcentral. Lineage: Eukaryota; Metazoa; Chordata; Mammalia; Primates; Hominidae.
CACUCAGCUUUCUGAAAUGGUGUCCCACCGCAAGGACUGGAGAAGGGACUUUACUGAAGACUCUAAGGAGGACCUGUAUCUGUUGGGAUCCUUAGGGCAAGCCACAGAAACAAGCUUUGGAUACUAGAAGCAGAAAAUGGAGUUAUUGAAGACUAUUGUGGAGUUUACUGUGAGCCAGAGAACCAGGCUGGGUGGCUGUACCACUUAGAAUGAGAUCCAAACUCACACCAUAGUUCCAUCCUUGAGGUCGCCAUGUUGCUGCCACCCCUCCUGCCACCCCACCACUGAAGCUUUGGAUGCUGGAUUCUGGGCACAGCGGGGAGAAGUGUUGGUUAUUACCAUUUUAAUAUGUUUUCUUUCAAGACCUUUUCAAAAUAUACAUACGUAUUUUUAUUUCUAUUCAAAAUGGGAUACAUUUUUGAAGGUUAGCAAUAUAUUGUGAACAUUUUCUUUCCAUGCUCAGAAACAUUUUUCUAUAAUAUAAUUUAUAGUGAUAUAAACUAUCUCAUAGACCUACCAUAGUUUACCUAACAAAUCCCAAAUCAUUUGUGCCAUUUCUAAAUUUUUAUUAUCUUAUGUAAUGCUUUAAUGAACAUCCUUGCAUUUAUAUUUUAUACAAUUUUAGAAGUGGAAUUACUGGUUCAAAAUACAUGGUGAUUUUUAAUUCUU